GGGGACGUAACUCAACGGCAGAGUGCCGGCUUUGCAAGCCGGAAGUUGAGCGUUCAAAUCGCUUCGUCUCCA
This 72-nucleotide transfer RNA is filed under the name Caudoviricetes sp. RNAcentral describes it as "tRNA-Ala". It matches the Rfam family "tRNA". Rfam says of the family: Transfer RNA (tRNA) molecules are approximately 80 nucleotides in length. Their secondary structure includes four short double-helical elements and three loops (D, anti-codon, and T loops). The record is from RNAcentral. Lineage: Duplodnaviria; Heunggongvirae; Uroviricota; Caudoviricetes.